UGAGGAAUAUUGGUCAAUGGGCGGAAGCCUGAACCAGCCAAGUAGCGUGAGGGAUGACUGCCCUAUGGGUUGUAAACCUCUUUUAUAAGGGAAUAAAAUACGGGACGUGUCCUGUUUUGCAUGUACCUUAUGAAUAAGGACCGGCUAAUUCCGUGCCAGCAGCCGCGGUAAUACGGAAGGUCCGGGCGUUAUCCGGAUUUAUUGGGUUUAAAGGGAGCGCAGGCGGACUUUUAAGUCAGCUGUUAAAUUCGGUGGCUCAACCAUCGCAUGCAGUUGAAACUGGAGGUCUUGAGUGUACACAGGGAUGCUGGAAUUCAUGGUGUAGCGGUGAAAUGCUCAGAUAUCAUGAAGAACUCCAAUCGCGAAGGCAGGCAUCCGGGGUACAACUGACGCUGAGGCUCGAAAGUGCGGGUAUCAAACAGGAUUAGAUACCCUGGUAGU
RNAcentral lists this ribosomal RNA (441 nucleotides) under uncultured Prevotella sp. RNAcentral's name for it is "bacterial SSU rRNA". It matches the Rfam family "Bacterial small subunit ribosomal RNA", at positions 355 to 794 of the family's 1533-position model. The record is from RNAcentral. Lineage: Bacteria; Pseudomonadati; Bacteroidota; Bacteroidia; Bacteroidales; Prevotellaceae.